GCGACUCCUCUGCCGCCGUCACCUAUGCCGCUCGAUUCCGGCGAGUUGACGCGGCUCUCGCCGGUGCGCAGCACACCUCCGGGGUUCCCUCGCGCCACUCUCUCCUCCCCUCCCGUCAGAUCCAUCUCUCGCGCCCGCAACCCUCACCCGUGGUGGACCUCGUUGCCAGAUCGCUGGAUCCGAUGGACGUCAGCUCCAACACGACCACGACC
This 212-nucleotide long non-coding RNA is filed under the name Hordeum vulgare. RNAcentral describes it as "long non-coding RNA (HVUL_LNC012919)". Lineage: Eukaryota; Viridiplantae; Streptophyta; Magnoliopsida; Poales; Poaceae. The record is from RNAcentral.